AAAAUAAUGCUACCUUAACCCUGCAGUUUAUGCUUAGUAUUCUACCUUAAAAUGUUUACUUUCGGUGCAAUAGCUUCUUUGGAUUUUUAUAUUGAACAUUGGACCAUUUUUACUCAACCUUUGGAUAAUUCGUUGCUGUUUAUGUUGUAGAACAACAUGGUGUAACACUAUGGUUCCACUAACUUGAUAUAUUUUCCACUAAUGUCCUUCCUGUUUCCAUCUACCUUGCUGCCCCAUCUCUCCUCUACCAAAUCCCAGCUUCAUGGUGGAUUCAUCUACAGGUAGUUAAUCUCCUAGCACUGAAUCACUGCACAGCUGCACAUGAAUUGUUAUGGACCAUUUGUUUUUCUUCAGGAAUCCACACCUACGGCAGUUCUCCUAGAAACCAUGUGCCUGAAGUUCAUCUCCCUACCACUCCAU
This 420-nucleotide long non-coding RNA is filed under the name Triticum aestivum (bread wheat). RNAcentral describes it as "long non-coding RNA (TAES_LNC001378)". Lineage: Eukaryota; Viridiplantae; Streptophyta; Magnoliopsida; Poales; Poaceae. The record is from RNAcentral.